Paramacrobiotus metropolitanus is the source of this 1356-nucleotide long non-coding RNA. RefSeq lists it as uncharacterized. The record is from RefSeq and is a predicted model, not a curated record. The transcript is spliced from 4 exons. Lineage: Eukaryota; Metazoa; Tardigrada; Eutardigrada; Parachela; Macrobiotidae.
GCACUUUUUAUUGCUGUGCAGUGAAUACUUCUUCGAGUGCUCUUUACGUUUCCUAUACUUAAGACCUGAUGAAACCAUCUUUUGACCACUGGUUAAUAAAAACAAACAAAAAUCUAUUGGCACACCUAUGGAAAAUAUGGAAAAUUUCAAGACCAAGCUGGACUUAAACUGACCACGCGUUGACGAGUCUAUAAAAACGGCGCAUAAAUACGCUUUGGUCGUUGAAGGCCUAGUAACUCCAGCUACUAGGAAGCAGGAAGAUCUGCAGGAAGAUGUCGGUGGUUACUCGAAAUGAUAAUAUAGAUAUUCUGGAAUUACCAUACAACUAUACACAUAUGGAUGUCAAAGGGAGGCCGAACCGGAAGCCGAAUCGCUUAUGAACCCUGGAACAGGCCGGAAUAUCUCACAGCAUCGUAGCACAUAUGGCACCUCUUCCCGAGACCGCAGAGAUGCCACAGUUCUACCCCGUAGCCGACUGCUCCAUCAAAACACCACUCCCCCUCCGCGAUAUGACACGCUUCUGUUGGCCAGCAUCCCAGAACACGACAGCGUUAACGAAACCGAAGAGUCCACACCUGAGCCUAAUUCAGUUACAGACCAAGCGGAAAGUAUAGUGACCGGCAAUCUGGACUGUUUAACCGCUUCAUUUGUAACAGAAAAUCAUUCCGAUCAUUCUGUUCCAACACACCAGGAAGAAGACAUCGAAUGAGAACAUUGGGACAGCAAUUCAUUACAAUUAACUGAGACUGAGUUUCAGGAAUCAAUCAGUAGCAGUACCAGCUCAUUUAUAGAUUUUGAUCCGCGCCAAGAAUAUCGUCACACCGACACUUUAAAUAGCCAACACUCAUCUUCGCAUCAACAUCGCAUUAUGGCUUCCGGCGUUACAGACAGCGAUGAUGCGAGCACUACACGCCGCCUCCUACCCGAUUUACCACACCGUCGACGUCGGUUACCAGAUAUACCCCGUGGAUCUACCGGAACGCUGACACAUUUCCAACAGGCCACUGAAGUGUUGUCACCAGGAUUAGCGGAACUAAGUGCUUCUUUACCUAUGUCGAGCGGUUGGCGUGGAGGCAGUGGGGCCACUCGGACCGGAAGCCUCCCGGCUGAUUAGCGAAGUGGGUAAGAUGAUGUGGCUGGAAACAGGCGAGAAACGUGCAACGGAGUUUUUGCGCCAGAGGUUCAGCAUCGAAAUUCUACGUGGAAACGCGGCAUCCAUCCUGGGAACGGCACCGGCCUCGGCUAACUUAGAUCAAAUGUUCUCUGUAAUCCGGCCGCACGUUUCCGCUGUUUGUUAAUAUUAGGAUGUGAUGUUUCUUUUGUGAAUUGUAAGCUUGCCUUUGUUUUCGUAUAAAA